RNAcentral lists this ribosomal RNA (254 nucleotides) under uncultured bacterium. RNAcentral describes it as "partial 16S ribosomal RNA". It matches the Rfam family "Bacterial small subunit ribosomal RNA", at positions 524 to 776 of the family's 1533-position model. The record is from RNAcentral.
UACGGGGGGAGCAAGCGUUGUUCGGAUUUACUGGGCGUAAAGGGCGCGUAGGCGGUCAGCACAAGUCAGUUGCGAAAUCUCCGGGCUUAACUCGGAAAGGUCAACUGAUACUGUGCGACUAGAGUGCAGAAGGGGCAACUGGAAUUCUCGGUGUAGCGGUGAAAUGCGUAGAUAUCGAGAGGAACACCUGCGGCGAAGGCGGGUUGCUGGGCUGACACUGACGCUGAGGCGCGAAAGCCAGGGGAGCGAACGGG